UACGAAGGUCCCAAGCGUUGUUCGGAAUUACUGGGCGUAAAGCGUGCGUAGGCGGCGGGGUAAGUCAGAUGUGAAAUCCCGGAGCUCAACUCCGGAACUGCAUCCGAUACUGCCUUGCUAGAGUAAUGGAGGGGCAUCUGGAAUUCACGGUGUAGCAGUGAAAUGCGUGGAUAUCGUGAGGAACACUAGUGGCGAAGGCGAGAUGCUGGACAUUUACUGACGCUGAGGUACGAAGGCCAGGGUAGCGAAUGGG
This 253-nucleotide ribosomal RNA is filed under the name uncultured bacterium. RNAcentral describes it as "partial 16S ribosomal RNA". It matches the Rfam family "Bacterial small subunit ribosomal RNA", at positions 524 to 776 of the family's 1533-position model. The record is from RNAcentral.